GUUGGGCAUGGUGGUGCAUGCCUGUGGUCCCAGCUACUUGGGAGGCUGAGGUGGGAGAAUCACUUGAGCCCAGGAGGUUGAGGCUUCAGUGAGCCAAGAUCACAACACUGCACUCUGGCCUGGGCAACAGAGUGAGACCCUGUCUCAA
Pongo abelii (Sumatran orangutan) is the source of this 148-nucleotide unclassified non-coding RNA. It matches the Rfam family "Metazoan signal recognition particle RNA". From Rfam's summary of the family: The signal recognition particle (SRP) is a universally conserved ribonucleoprotein. NCBI's taxonomy places the organism in Eukaryota, Metazoa, Chordata, Mammalia, Primates, Hominidae. The record is from Ensembl.